Molecule: ribosomal RNA, 207 nt
Filed under: uncultured bacterium
Lineage: Bacteria
Description: partial 16S ribosomal RNA
Rfam family: Bacterial small subunit ribosomal RNA
Source: RNAcentral
CACGUAGGCGGACAUUUAAGUCAGGGGUGAAAUCCCGGGGCUCAACCCCGGAACUGCCUUUGAUACUGGGUGUCUUGAGUCCGAGAGAGGUGAGUGGAAUUCCGAGUGUAGAGGUGAGAUUCGUAGAUAUUCGGAGGAACACCAGUGGCGAAGGCGGCUCACUGGCUCGGUACUGACGCUGAGGUGCGAAAGUGUGGGGAGCAAACA